RNAcentral lists this ribosomal RNA (496 nucleotides) under uncultured bacterium. RNAcentral describes it as "partial 16S ribosomal RNA". It matches the Rfam family "Bacterial small subunit ribosomal RNA", at positions 30 to 523 of the family's 1533-position model. The record is from RNAcentral.
AUUGAACGCUGGCGGCAUGCCUUACACAUGCAAGUCGAACGGUAACAGGUCUUCGGAUGCUGACGAGUGGCGAACGGGUGAGUAAUACAUCGGAACGUGCCUAGUAGUGGGGGAUACUACUCGAAAGAGUGGCUAAUACCGCAUGAGAUCUACGGAUGAAAGCAGGGGAUCGGCAGAACCUGUGCUACCAGAGCGGCCGAUGGCAGAUUAGGUAGUUGGUGGGAUAAAAGCUUACCAAGCCGACGAUCUGUAGCUGGUCUGAGAGGACGAUCAGCCACACUGGGACUGAGACACGGCCCAGACUCCUACGGGAGGCAGCAGUGGGGAAUUUUGGACAAUGGGCGAAAGCCUGAUCCAGCAAUGCCGCGUGCAGGAUGAAGGCCUUCGGGUUGUAAACUGCUUUUGUACGGAACGAAAAGCCCCGGGUUAAUACCCUGGGGUCAUGACGGUACCGUAAGAAUAAGCACCGGCUAAUUACGUGCAGCAGCCGCCGUAA